AUUGUAUUGGAAGGUCGGAAAGCCCAGCUGCGUUGUUUAAUGCACGUUAUUGUGGACAUGAGCAGAACUCCGGAAGGGGAAAAUAGAGUCUCUAGAGAAAGCAAGUAAAAGAUUGGUGUCAGGGAUGGAGCGGCAGUAUUAUGAUAAUGAGACGUGUACUUGGAAAACGGAGAAGGAAUGGAGGGAAAGAGAGAGGGAGAAGAGGGUUUAAGUGUUUGACCGUCAAUCGUCCACAUGGCUGGCUGCCACCGGAAACUUCAGGAAGAUUGCCCAUUAUUUGUAUUUUUUUCCUAUGGCCCCAGAAAAGUGAGGCAGUGGGAGAACCUAUUCAAAGAGCCAUGGGACCUCUUCAUCUGCAGGCAGUUUCAAUCAAUGUCCCAAGAGAAUAAGGGUACAUCCUUGUAUACCAUAGAUUAUAUGUCUACCUAUGUUGGCAAAGUUUGUAAACAAAAAUACAGUUUAAAAGUCACGCAAUGUAUAAACCUUUUACAACUGGAGCAGGCCAACCAUACUGGGAGUACACACUUAUGUUUCAGCCCAGAAAUAACACACCUAAUUCAAGGUAUCAAACCUAAAUAGUUUAGACUCAAGUGUGCUAUUGUUGGGCUGGACCGGAAGUCUUCUCACCCAGUAGAUAAGGGAUCAGUGGAGCGAGGAUGGCCACCUCCGGUAUUGAAUUAUUUUUGUUUACCUGAAAUUAUGCUUUUGUGGUAAAUAGCCUACUUGUUACUAAAACUUUACAUUUGAGUUAGCUUACUUGUACACUUUGAAAUGAUAUGAAACAGUGUUGAUUCUUUGAAGUGAAGUGUUUAAACAUGUUUUAAUUGUUAACUUAACCAUUAUUCAAUAUUAACUAGUGUUGAUGUUGAUUAAUUACAGAUCACAAUCCUGCAAUAAAAAAGGGAAGGGAAUGUUUGUGUUUGUUUCUCAAAUGAUCAUUACCAUUUUGUCAGUCAUAAGCUCUCCAAUUAGAUUUAUUUGAUUGUCACAAUUUUUUCAGGAGAUCAGCCAUGUGGGGGGCGGCAGGUAGCGGUUAGAGCGCUGGGCCAGUAACCGAAAGGUUGCUUGAUCGAAUCCCCGAGCUGACAAGGUAAAACUCUGUCGUUCUGCCCCUGAACAAGGCAGUUAACCCAAGGCCGUCAUUGUAAAUAAGAAUUUGUUCUUAACUGACUUGCCUAGUUAAAUAAAGGUUAAAUAAUUUUAAAAAGUUGACCCAUUAUGCAGCUGAUAAUGGCAUGCAAUGCCAAUGCAGCCAUAGGCCUACAGCAGUGGUUCCCAACUCCAGUCCUUGAGUACCCUCAACAGCACACCUGAUUCAACUCAUUGAGGGCCUGAUGAUUCGUUGACAAGUUGAAUCAGGUCUGUUUGUCCGGGGCUAGAAUAACUGUACCCUCGACAUUGUGCAUCUGAAUUAGAUAAUAGCUUAACCCACACAAUGUUUGUAUUGUUCAGCUAUAUGUUAUCAAUUUAAAAACUAUACCAGUAGGCAAUGUAUGAGGCUGAUCAUUAUACUAGAUUUUCUACAUGCCUUGUGCUGACACAAGAUUGUUUAGUUCAUAUCCAACCCUUGCAAUCGAGGUGGUUUAAGACUACCACAAUAACUACAUUGUCUACGCUAAAUGUGUUUAAAUUGUAAAAGAAUGACACGUUUCAAGUUAAUGUCACAUGCACAGUAAAAUGCCUUUAAUGCGAACUCAAAACCCAACAAUGCAAUAAUCAAAUGUAUUACUAGAAAAAAAGCACACAAGAAAUAUGAAAUACACAAUAAAGUAAACAAACAUACUAUAUACAGAAAAUAUUUAAAAAGUCAGUUCCAAUACCAUAUUUACAUGUGCAGGGAUACUGGGGUGAUGGGAGGUAGAUAUGUGUGGGGUAAGGUGACUAGGCAACUGGAUAUAAGAUAAACAGAGUAGCAGCAGCUUGUGGGUGUAGAGUUGGUAUAAAUGUAUGUGCAUAUUAUGUGUGAGUGAGAAAAUGGAGUGAGUGUUUGCUUUGGAGUGACAGUGUGUAGGGCCCUGUGAGUGUGCAUAGACAGUGCAAAAUACUGAAAUAGAAGGUCAAUAAAGAUGCAAGGUAAACUUGGUCCGUGCAAGUUUGUUAGCUAUUUUUCAGUCGUAUUGCUUGGGGAUAAAAGCUGUUCAAGCAGAGAAAAUCUAUGGCUUGGAUGGUUGGGAUCUUUGACCUGAUAUGGAGGUCCAGGAUGGCAGGGAGCUUGGCCUCAGUGAUGUACUGGGCUGUGCGCACAACCCUCUGUAGCGCCAUACGAUCGAGGGCGAUGCUAUUGCUAUACCAAGCAGUGAUGCAGCCAGUCGAUAUGCUCUCGAAGGUACAGUUGUAGAACCUUUUCAGGAUUUGAGAGCUCAUGCCAAACUUUUUCUACUACUCUGUUUAUUAUCCAUACAUAGUCACUGUACCUCUACCUACAUGUACAUAUGACCUCAAUCCCUCGAAUAACCUGUACCCCCUGUAUUUAGCCUCGCUACUGUUAUUUUAUUUUUGCACCUUUUUUUCCCUUCAUUACUUUCUUCAGUUUAUUUCAGUAAAUACUUUAACACUUAUUUUUCUUAACUGCAUUGUUGGUUAAGGGCUUGUAAGUAAGCAUUUCACUGUAAGGUCUAUCUAUACCUGUUGUAUUCGGCGCAUGUGAUUUAUAUAUCUUUUUGAUUUAGUGACGCCGAAUUAUAAUCACCGCAACCAGAAAGGCAGCCUCACCCCGACUCCACUAUCCUGUCUGCCCGGUGAAUGAAGAAUCCAUCGAGUUAGAUAGCCGUGGGGGGCAUAUUGUCUGAGAGCCACGUUUCUGAAAAGCAAGGAACAUUGCAAUAGUUGGGCCAUAAGAAAUACUUUUUAUUCAAUGGGGCUAGGCAAAGCAAAGAUGACAGAAUACUUGUCUUUUCACUUAGACAACAAUAUAGCUUGAAGUACAGUAUGUUUACAAUAUCAACAAGUCUUUUAAACGUUCCAAAUUACAUUAUAUUCAUACAGUGUAAGGGGGCACUUUUGUCAUGACAAGGUGCUCUACUCAAUUGACAACAGAAUAAUUGUCCAAAGCACAGCAUAUGACAACCAUGUCAUAUAACUGAGGGAUGUCUUCUUUCAUGUCUGGAAAAAGAUGAAGAAGUAGUAGAAACUGAUGCUGCUGCAGCAUUACCCAUCUUCACAGGGGGAAUCCAGUCAACAUGGGUGUCUUGAUAUAGGUCAGCUGGUGAACCUACAGUACAUCAACAAAUGAGAAGCACACCUGACGUUAGAAUAUCAAAUCUUCAGGUCACCUAUACCAUCGCGGCUCUUAAGUGUUUGGUUGUGUUUAAUUCAUUCAGGUGUUUUAGUGUCAUAAAGAUUAAAUAUAUUGUUGGGCUGGAACAACUAUUACCAUUGGUUGCUCCAGCCUUUUUGAGGCCUUUGUCCUAUGCGGUAAUGUCCAUACAUUUUCCCUCAUUUUAUGAAUAAAGUUAUAAAAUUAUCAUUGGAUUAUCAUUUUUUGAACAAUAAUUUCCUUCAGAAUAUAUGGACGUCAUAUUGUACAAUUUGUGUCUACCCUUUUCAUGGUCAUGGCAAGAAGGGAACCAGCUUUUGUAAAAUGAACGUAAUAUUUUACAUUUCAUAGCCGAUACUGAGAAUUUAAGCAGCAGGUUAGAAGAAUUAGGUUAAGGCUGUGAAAAAAGUUAAGGUUAGCUAAAAAACAAAAUAAAACUUUUUAUGUAAAUUUGAGAAAAGCUGGAUCCCUUUAAGCAAAGACCCCUUUUCGGCCUAGAUUACAUGGUUGUUUUCAAGACAAGGUCGUUCUAAUUGAUCUGCUGUCAGUAGAGUAGGCCUAGACUACCAUCGUAUUAAAAAAGAUUAUGUUAAUAUCUCCAGUGAUAUAAAGUGUAGUAGAAUUGCAUUUAAUGUUAUCAAAGGCCACAUUUUUCCCGUGCAAAGGAAAGAAACGUCUCUGAUAUAGGAUAUAAACCUAUGCCGCUACGCGUUUAUUAACAGCCUAAAUUAUCACUAUCAAAUCUACUCAUCACAUUAAGAAUAGUAGGUUCACAUUUGCCCGCAAAUGCGAUGAUAGAGGCAUGUAAUGCUUUGUUAUAAGGGGCAUUUAUGGUGAGAAAAAAAAAUGGAUUCCCAAAACUUGAAACCCACGCGAUACAUGCUAAAAGCUAGACUACAAGCUAUCGAGCUAACUCACUUAGUGUUGUUAACGCCUGGUUAGCAUACCAGUGAAACUAAACUCAAAAUCGAUAAGACUUGACCUUCCAAUGAUGAAAUGAUCGUAGCAAACCCUGUAUUGAAAGCAGUCUGGGUUGAGGUCUUGACGGGCAAAAAGGUUUCUUCGCUUUUCUGAGUUCUUGAGUCUUAUCUCAUUGGUAUUGCCAAUGGUGUUUCAUGAUUGCGGGGAAUCUGUAAACAUCUUUUCCGGCCUUGUUUGAGGAGCCAUAUACUCCACAGAAAAUGACCGUGGUGAUGAAUCCACUAGUUCUAGUCACUUUUAUCAUUCAGUUUGGGGUAGCCCCUCGGCUGUUUUCAGAAUAAUUAAUGCAGUGGUCUUCCAACAUGGCCGCCAGGAGGCGUU
This 4558-nucleotide long non-coding RNA is filed under the name Salmo salar (Atlantic salmon). Its description in RNAcentral is "lncRNA (ENSSSAG00000097534.1, ENSSSAG00000109109.1)". Lineage: Eukaryota; Metazoa; Chordata; Actinopteri; Salmoniformes; Salmonidae. The record is from RNAcentral.